This 3525-nucleotide long non-coding RNA is filed under the name Marmota monax (woodchuck). Lineage: Eukaryota; Metazoa; Chordata; Mammalia; Rodentia; Sciuridae. The record is from RNAcentral.
CUAAUCAGUUGAACACUUCUCUUUAUCAUUGUGAGGUGGCAAGUAGAUGGAAAGAACCCAUUCUGGCGAGAAGGAAAGAAGGAGGAGUUGGAAAAGAAAGGAAGGAUCUGAGUGCUACCCACAAACAUUUCUGAUGGCUUUACUGUCCCCGUUAGGUGUCAAUUUUUCUUUUUCAUUUCCUUUUUUCUUCUUUGUUUUUCCUCCUGGGGGUCAUGGACCUUGCUCACCCUCUGCUUAGGACUUUGGGAGAAAGUGAAGCUGGGUUGGGCCGAGGUAUGCAGGGGAAGAGCUAGCCACAGCUUGAAACUGCAGGCAACUGGCUGUAAGAAAGUUGGGGAGGAUUUGGAAGUGCCUUUUGCCCAUGAUUUCAUUGAUGUUGUGGCACAGGGUUGGGAAGAAAAUGAGGAGGUACAAAGGAGUAUGGGGAGGUAAGUGAGGAAAUGGCAGGGGGUCAUGUCAGGUUGGAGAAUGCCCAGGUUAAGCCGGCCCCUUUGGAGGGAUUGGAACUUCCUUUGCCUAUGUUUCUACUUCGGAAAGCUUGACAAUGGGAACUUGAUAACUUCUUUCUAGUCAGCAGUUAGCUUUCUAUCAAUCACUGAGUUGGACACUAGUUGGACACUAGUCACUGGGCCAUUGCUUGGUGAAUAAGCACUGGACUAGAAAGUUCCGACUGGCUAUUUCACCUCUGAUCUGGAGUAGCAGAUGAACAACUAUUGUGAAUCUCUAUACUAAUCCUUUCUAUUUGUUUAGUGCAUGGUAAGUGUCAACAAGCUCACUGACCCUUCACGCUGUUGGACCCUCACAGGAGCCCUGUGAGCAAGAGAAAGUCAAGCACUUUGUCCCCAGUGUUCCAAGAAAAACGUGGAGCUUAUGUGCCAUGCUUGAGGACACUAGCUCUUCAACUUUACGCUACUCUGAACUGAAGAGUACCUUUUCUUUCCCUCCCCCUUGCAAAAGGGGGUCCUCCAGCAGAGUCUGCUUAUCUAUCAGACUGCCAACCACGUUCUACAGCACUGAAGCACCUCAGCAGGAAGAGGCUACUGACCAGCCAAUAAGAGAGAACCCAGCAGAUGGAGAGUGUGGGCCUUCCCACCCAGCCUGUAUGUGAACUUGCCAAGCAGCACCACCUUGAUGAAGGGCAUGAGAGAGUGAGCUUUGCCAAGCACUCAAUCCCUGUCCCCUCUUGCUCUCUAGGCAGCCUCUCCUGCAGCCCCUCACCUCUCCACCCACCCACCCCCUUUUAACUGCUUCUGUGUAGGUAUUUCUUUGUGUGUGUCUGCUUACUUAUGUUUAUUUGAUUUGAAUGGGCAGGAAAGAAUGUAUGCUUGAAAGGGUAUGCAUUUCUUUUUAGUGGAUUUUCUAGAACCACCAGAACUCCCAUGGCCUGUUCCCACAUUGGAUGAGCUGGUUAACUGUUUCUUUCUAAUCCCCCUGUUCCAGAGAGCAGGUUCUCCUGGUUCCCAUCCAUUCCUUACUCCUCUUUCCCUGCAUCUGUGCUGUGUUCUGGAUUGAAGGCCCAGGGGAAGCACAUGUAGUCCUAAGAAGUGGUAAUAUAGUGCCUUGAGGUAGGUAGUGCUCAAUUUGUGGGAUAAGCUAAGUGCUGAGCAUUUUGCUUGGUGCUAUAAGGGCAUGGUUUAGAGAAAAGAAAGUAGUCACAGGAUAUCUAAGAUUGCCUAUUUUUGAACAUCCCACACAGAGAGAUCCAGAUUGAAGGGAGAGCGAUGACCUCACAUGGUUAUUGGAACACUAGCUUCCUGGAGCCUAAACAUUGGUUGCUUGACUUGGAUUCGGUCUCCUGGAGGGGAUUCGAACCCUGUGGAGGGGAAGUAGUUCAUUGAGGUGAAGUCAUAAAGGGAAGUCAGAACAGGGGGGAAAAAUAAGACACAGCAAUGCAUAGGAAGACUUCACAGCACAGAGGAAGGACAAAGAGGCCAGUUGUAAAUACCCACAUACUAGAUAUAUUAGACCUUAAAGAGAAUAUCUUGCCCUAGUGUGCUGCAAUGAGAGCAGUUGAACUCUCCUGCUCCUCAUACUCCGUGAGGUUAAAUGUCAAGGUGAGGUGGAGAUUUGGCAAUGACACAGUUUCAGGAACUUGAACUUUCAGAGAUUACCAUGGUUUUGAUCCAAUUGCCAGCAAAAUUAUCCUGCAAAUUGCCAGAUCUCCCCUUGACAUGUUCUGUGUGUGGUCUGUGGUCAGCGUCCUUAUUGAGCCCCAUCCUCAUCCACCCCCACCCUCUUCCCUGAUGUGCAGGCACACCCCUCCAGUUGGCUGCCAAUGUCCCCUCCCAAAUGUCUCCCUAUACCAAGUAGCUCUAGAAUUGCACAUCAUCUGGCUGCAUGCUCCCAGAGUUCAGCUAAUCAAAGGGCCCUUGGUAGUUUGGAGCUUAGGCAGAGGGAAGGGUCUUGCUGAGUGUGAGAUGGAACAACCCCACUUUUUCCUCUGCUCACCUUUCCUUUUUUUCCCUCUCCUCGACUUUCCCCAUAGAAUCCCUCCCUCAGGAAGGACGCCCCUGUCUGUUUUUCCAAAUUGUUUUAUCGUGGGGAUCUCUGACAUGUUUCCUACCAAGUUUUAUGCCCAUCCCAUCUGCCACUGUGGGGUGCCUUUGCAGAGGUAACAGACAAUCUCUUGGGUCUUAGUGGAGCUUGUCCAAGUAUUCUUCUAAUUCUUGUCAUCUGGUUAAUAGCAAGGCUGCAAAAUCUUUGCAUAUUCAGAGCUGAAUUUUGCUGAGACUAUGCUCAUUCCUAAUGAGGAUUGCUCAGUCUGUAUAUACAACAGCUAACCCUUUGAGCUAUUAACUACUGAAUGCAUCCACUAAGUUCUCCCCUGCAUGAUACCCUGCUGUGGUGAUGUGCAGUAACUUCAUAUCUACUCAAAGCCCAGCAUCAAAGGAAAUUGUGACUUGUCGUACUGAAAGUACAGUGUGUGUUUGUUGUAUAAUGUCCUGUGAUCAAUAUGAAAUCUAUAUUAUCAGUGUUGGGUUUUCAGGGGGGAGGGAAGGGUGUUAAAGUAUUUUCCUGAAUACUUAAAUUAAGAAAUACUCCCAAACGGUCAGGGUCACCUCUAUGGACUCCAUUUGUUUGAGACUUUGCACCCACCAUUUUGCCAGGCUGCAUCCCCAGGGUCAGUUGUCAUCAGCAAGGCUUAAGGUGCCAGAAUUUAAUGCAACCAGCUCUCCUGUCUGACACCAGGCAGUCAGGGGAUUCUGCUGAAGGCAGCCAAGUCAGUGACAUGCUGGAAGUAUGAACUACAGUAAAAUUGUACAUACCAGGUCUUCAGACAGUAAAAACCAAGAAAAGAAGAGCAAGACUAUGACCAAGGUGUCCUGGAUUACCUGACCCACAAAAGGGCACAGAGAAGCAGAGCCUCUUAAGAUGAGUGGGAGCCUUCUUUGUCCUAAUUAAAUGUACAUUUUCCCAUGACCUUGACCAGUCCUGACUUUAAGAAAGUAAAACACAGAAAAGCAUAAAAUUAUACUUGUGAAAAAUAUAAUGGAAAAAAAUUUGUAAAUAGCAAAUAAAGAAAAA